Molecule: long non-coding RNA, 619 nt
Filed under: Androctonus crassicauda
Lineage: Eukaryota; Metazoa; Arthropoda; Arachnida; Scorpiones; Buthidae
Source: RNAcentral
GCCUCCGAUCAGAAUAAAUACCUCGCUUAAAUAUAUAUAUAUAUAUAUAUGAUGUAUGAUUUAUAAAGCUUAACGAUUUUGUAACUCUUCCUCUUGUUUCUUCCCUAAUCUCUCACCCUAACAAUCUCUAGUCCUUUUUGGCAGCACAGUCUCUAGUCUAUAUUUUGAUGAUAAUUGACGAUCGGAUGAUAUCAACGUUCCCUUCUUCCUCUAUUCACGCACAAACAGAAGAAAAAAGUCUAGGGCACUGUAUGGCAAAUGAUCGGAUGCUGUCAGACAGCUUGUACAGAUCACAGUACGAGGUGACGAUGCAACUUCUGACUUUUCUCAAGGAAUUGCUACGUGUCUACCUACUCCAACAGCUUCUCUCUGACUGCUUCUUUGUCUUUCUCUGACUGACUGCUCCUACGACUUGUGUCCGCAAACCUCGACGUUUUCUGUCUGACUGCCUCCUUCGACUCCCUUGGUCCGACUUUUAACUACCCUCUCCCUCGGGUAUAUCCCUUUUUUGCCCUUGUAGGUUUUUUCCCCCACCAGCAUUCCAAGGGUCCUGCUUUCCCACCACCUGCACGCCACCUGCACGACAUCUGAUUCCUUUAGUGGCAUCGUAACUUUCCCC